GCGCCCAUAGCUCAGUUGGUAGAGCACCUGCCUUUUAAGCAGAGGGUCGCAGGUUCGAUUCCUGCUGGGCGCACCG
Molecule: transfer RNA, 76 nt
Filed under: Candidatus Taylorbacteria bacterium RIFCSPHIGHO2_02_FULL_43_55
Lineage: Bacteria; Candidatus Tayloriibacteriota
Also listed under: 4 other names
Description: tRNA-Lys
Rfam family: tRNA
About the family: Transfer RNA (tRNA) molecules are approximately 80 nucleotides in length. Their secondary structure includes four short double-helical elements and three loops (D, anti-codon, and T loops). Further hydrogen bonds mediate the characteristic L-shaped molecular structure. tRNAs have two regions of fundamental functional importance: the anti-codon, which is responsible for specific mRNA codon recognition, and the 3' end, to which the tRNAs corresponding amino acid is attached (by aminoacyl-tRNA synthetases). tRNAs cope with the degeneracy of the genetic code in two manners: having more than one tRNA (with a specific anti-codon) for a particular amino acid; and 'wobble' base-pairing, i.e. permitting non-standard base-pairing at the 3rd anti-codon position.
Source: RNAcentral